UACGUAGGGUGCGAGCGUUGUCCGGAAUUAUUGGGCGUAAAGAGCUCGUAGGCGGUGUGUCGCGUCGGCCGUGAAAACCUGGGGCUUAACUCUGGGCGUGCGGUCGAUACGGGCAUCACUGGAGUUCGGCAGGGGAGACUGGAAUUCCUGGUGGAGCGGUGAAAUGCGUAGAUAUCACUUGGAACGCCAAUGGUGAAGACAGCUCGCUGGGGGUGUCCUGACGCUGAGGCGCGAAAGCCAGGGGAGCGAACGGG
This 254-nucleotide ribosomal RNA is filed under the name uncultured bacterium. Its description in RNAcentral is "partial 16S ribosomal RNA". It matches the Rfam family "Bacterial small subunit ribosomal RNA", at positions 524 to 776 of the family's 1533-position model. The record is from RNAcentral.